RNAcentral lists this ribosomal RNA (993 nucleotides) under Escherichia coli. Its description in RNAcentral is "partial 23S ribosomal RNA". It matches the Rfam family "Bacterial large subunit ribosomal RNA", at positions 1929 to 2916 of the family's 2925-position model. The record is from RNAcentral. Lineage: Bacteria; Pseudomonadati; Pseudomonadota; Gammaproteobacteria; Enterobacterales; Enterobacteriaceae.
GGCGGCCGUAACUAUAACGGUCCUAAGGUAGCGAAAUUCCUUGUCGGGUAAGUUCCGACCUGCACGAAUGGCGUAAUGAUGGCCAGGCUGUCUCCACCCGAGACUCAGUGAAAUUGAACUCGCUGUGAAGAUGCAGUGUACCCGCGGCAAGACGGAAAGACCCCGUGAACCUUUACUAUAGCUUGACACUGAACAUUGAGCCUUGAUGUGUAGGAUAGGUGGGAGGCUUAGAAGUGUGGACGCCAGUCUGCAUGGAGCCGACCUUGAAAUACCACCCUUUAAUGUUUGAUGUUCUAACGUUGACCCGUAAUCCGGGUUGCGGACAGUGUCUGGUGGGUAGUUUGACUGGGGCGGUCUCCUCCUAAAGAGUAACGGAGGAGCACGAAGGUUGGCUAAUCCUGGUCGGACAUCAGGAGGUUAGUGCAAUGGCAUAAGCCAGCUUGACUGCGAGCGUGACGGCGCGAGCAGGUGCGAAAGCAGGUCAUAGUGAUCCGGUGGUUCUGAAUGGAAGGGCCAUCGCUCAACGGAUAAAAGGUACUCCGGGGAUAACAGGCUGAUACCGCCCAAGAGUUCAUAUCGACGGCGGUGUUUGGCACCUCGAUGUCGGCUCAUCACAUCCUGGGGCUGAAGUAGGUCCCAAGGGUAUGGCUGUUCGCCAUUUAAAGUGGUACGCGAGCUGGGUUUAGAACGUCGUGAGACAGUUCGGUCCCUAUCUGCCGUGGGCGCUGGAGAACUGAGGGGGGCUGCUCCUAGUACGAGAGGACCGGAGUGGACGCAUCACUGGUGUUCGGGUUGUCAUGCCAAUGGCACUGCCCGGUAGCUAAAUGCGGAAGAGAUAAGUGCUGAAAGCAUCUAAGCACGAAACUUGCCCCGAGAUGAGUUCUCCCUGACCCUUUAAGGGUCCUGAAGGAACGUUGAAGACGACGACGUUGAUAGGCCGGGUGUGUAAGCGCAGCGAUGCGUUGAGCUAACCGGUACUAAUGAACCGUGAGG